CCCUUAGAUGUUCGGGACCGCACGCGCGCUACACUGAAGGAAUCAGCACGUCUUUCUCCUUGUCCGAAAGGACUGGGUAACCCGCUGAACCUCCUUCGUGCUAGGGAUUGGGGCUUGUAAUUCUUCCCCAUGAACGAGGAAUUCCCAGUAAGCGCGAGUCAUAAGCUCGCGUUGAUUACGUCCCUGCCCUUUGUACACACCGCCCGUCGCUACUACCGAUUGGAUGGUUUAGUGAGAUCCUCGGAUUGGUCCCGGCGCGGCCUCUGGUCGUGCCGGAGUGCCGAAAAGAAUGUCGAACUUGAUCAUCUAGAGGAAGUAAAAGUCGUAACA
This 330-nucleotide ribosomal RNA is filed under the name uncultured eukaryote. Its description in RNAcentral is "partial 18S ribosomal RNA". It matches the Rfam family "Eukaryotic small subunit ribosomal RNA", at positions 1470 to 1796 of the family's 1831-position model. The record is from RNAcentral.